RNAcentral lists this unclassified non-coding RNA (316 nucleotides) under plant metagenome. RNAcentral describes it as "partial contains 5.8S ribosomal RNA, internal transcribed spacer 2, and large subunit ribosomal RNA". The stretch from base 1 to 105 matches the Rfam family "5.8S ribosomal RNA", at positions 50 to 154 of the family's 154-position model. The record is from RNAcentral.
GAAAUGCGAUAACUAGUGUGAAUUGCAGAAUUCCGUGAAUCAUCGAGUCUUUGAACGCACAUUGCGCCCCCUGGUAUUCCGGGGGGCAUGCCUGUCCGAGCGUCAUUACUGCCCAUCAAGCACGGCUUGUGUGUUGGGUCGUCGUCCCCUCUCCGGGGGGAACGGGCCCCAAAGGCAGCGGCGGCACCGCGUCCGAUCCUCGAGCGUAUGGGGCUUUGUCACCCGCUCUGUAGGCCCGGCCGGCGCUUGCCGAACGCAAAUCAAUCUUUUUCCAGGUUGACCUCGGAUCAGGUAGGGAUACCCGCUGAACUUAAGC